GGCCAUGAUGGAAUAGACAAGGUUGCUUCUUCGUGGACCCUUCGUGGGUGGAGCCCUCCGUGGACUCUCGCAGCCGUUACCCUCCGUGGGUUGAAGUCUCCAUCAACGUGGAAGUACGAUAGCACCACCUAUCGGAACCACGAGAAAAAUCACCGCGUCUCCAAAAUUGCGUUUGCUCUUCUCCACCUCUCUUUACUACAUGUGCAAUUUACUUUCCGCUGCCUAUACUCUAGAAUUGCAUGUGUAGGGUGAUGCUUGACUUGAUCAUAAUUGUGAAUCUGCCAAAAACUGUUCUUUGUCAAAAGGCAGAAUUUUUAUAUUGUCAAGUAGUCUAAUCACCCCCCCUCUAGACAUACUUUCGAUCCUACAAGUGGUAUCAGAGCUUUGGUCUCCAUUGUAUUGGUUUCCAUUGCAUUGGACUCCAUAAGCUUGGUUUCACAACCUAGGAGAGUAUGGCGUCUAGUGAGGGUAAUUUUCGUAGAGGUCCUUACUUUGAUGGUACAAAUUUUGCUAGUUGGAAGCAUAAAAUGAAAAUGCAUAUUCUUGGCCAUAACGCAGCCGCAUGGGGCAUUAUUUGUGUUGGUAUGCAAGGUGAAUUCUUCGAGGAAGGAAAAGUUCCGGAUCGCGAAGCUACAACGGAAGAAUUGCGGAUGUUGCAAAACAAUGCUCAAGCUUGUGACAUUCUCUUCAAUGCCUUGUGUCCCGAGGAGUUCAACAAAAUCAGCCGUCUUGAGAAUGCAAAAGAGAUUUGGGAUACUUUGGUUGAAAUGCACGAAGGUACCGAGUCCGUGAAGGAAUCAAAGCUAGAUGUUCUUCAAGGUCAACUUGACAAGUUCAAGAUGAAGGAAGGUGAAGGAGUCGCUGAAAUGUACUCUAGGCUUGCUCUCAUCACAAAUGAGAUUGCCGGCUUAGGAAGCGAAGAAAUGACCGACCGAUUCAUCAUCAAGAAGAUUCUCAGAGCUUUGGAUGGAAAGUAUGACACCGUGUGCACUUUGAUCCAAAUGAUGCCAAACUACAAGAAUCUCAAGCCAACCGAAGUCAUUGGAAGAAUUGUUGCUCAUGAGAUGACACUUAAGGAUAAGGAAGAGCUUCACAACAAGUCAAGUGGUGCUUACAAAGCUACAAGUGAUGCUCCCACAACCUCAAGUGACAAGUUAGUUUCCAAUGAAGAGAUAAGCCUAAUGGUCAAGAACUUCAACAAAUUCUACAAGAAUAGAAGCAAAGAGAGAAGCUCAAAGUCUAGAUCAUAUGAUGAAAAGAGAUCUUCUAGUCGUGAUCGAAACUGCUACAAUUGUGGAAGACCCGGACACUACUCAAAUGAGUGUACAGCUCCCCACAAGAGAAGAGAAGAAUCUCCAAGAAGAAGAAGCUCAAGAGAUGAGUCACCUCGGAAAGAGAGAAGGAGCAGAGAUGAUCGUUAUGAACGAAGACCCUCUCGGAGAAGCAAGGAUUCGGAGAGGAAAGACAAGUCAUCAAGGAGCUACACAAGAAGAAAACAUCAAGCUCAUGUAGGUGAAUGGGUCUCCGGCUCCGACUCCGAUAAUCAAUCCGAAGGAAGCUAUCACUCCAACUCCGACUACAGUCAAGAUGAAGGUGUUGCCGGUCUUGCUCUCGUAUCCUCCAACUCCAACUCCUAUGACUUAUUUGAUUCACCAAAUGAGGGAAUUGGAAGAUGCUUCAUGGCUAAAGGCCCCAAGGUAUCACACCCUGAAUUCAUUGACUUCGAUAGUGAUGAGGAUGACUUGCUUGGUGAAGAUGAGCUCUUACUUGAUAAAUCCAAUGAACCUAGUAACAAUGAACAUGCUAGUAGUCUUUAUAGUCGAGAAGAGUCGAAUGACAAUGCUAUGAAGGAGAUUGAGCAUCUAACUAAAGAACUAAAAACUCUUAAGUUAGCUCAUGAAACAACUCAAGAAGAUCAUAGAGAGCUCCUAAGAUCUCAUGAGAAGCUACGCUUCGAGAAGCUCACUCUAGAGCAAGAACAUGAGUUUCUAAAAGCAAUCAAUGACGAUCUUCGAAAGAAGAGUUCUUCAUAUCUUGCCAAACGACUUAUCUUGUCUAAUUUCUUGCCACCCAUUAAGACUAAGCAUGACAAGCAUAAGAAAAAUUAUUCUUCUAGUAGUAACAAUAACCAUGCUAAAUCCAAUGUUGUUGCUUCUAGUAGUUCUCUUGAUUCCACUAACAAUGUUUCAAGCCAAGUUACACUUGAGCAAGAAAAUAGUUUAUUGAAAGGUAUCAUAGAGAAAGGUGUCUACAAGAGCCUUGACGGAAGCAAGAACUUUGAGGAAAUUGUUCGCAAGCAAGGAAGGCACCGGAAGAAUCAAGGAAUUGGUUUUGAGCGAAAGUUCAACGCCGAAGGUAUUGAAUGGGAAGAAGGUCAAUAUCCUACUCCAUAGUUUGUUCUUCAAAAGGAGAAGUAUGAUCCUACUUCUUCCAAUGUGGAACAAGCUCAAGAUGACCUUCCACCACAAGACCACAAGCUAAGAGGCAAGGACAAGCUUCAAGAGGAGAUUGAUGCAUUUGUUGAAGCACCUCAAGCCAUGGUCAAGUGGGUUCCCAAGGAAACGUCAAGUUCUACUUCGUCAAGCUACACCACAACCCCAAGGAUUCCCAUCAAGAUGAUGUGGAUCCCGAAGAAGAAGAACUAGAAAGUUCUUGAGGGUGACUCCGCCAACAUACUUCACUCACAUUCAUUUUGGCAAAAACUUGUGCAAUCAACUUCCACAUCGUGCACUAGUUCAUGGAGUCACAAACCCUCUUGUUGGUAAGUCAAGGGACAAGGUAAUCAUUGCUUUCAUGGACAUCAUCUAUUGUGAACUUCAAUCUAUGUCCAUGGAUAUUCUUGUUUGUUCCUUGUGGGACUAACCCAUGUAGGUAUUGAAAGUGCCCGAAUCCAAAGGAUUGCUCCCAACUCUUGAUGAUCUUCAUCAACAUUGAGCAUCCACAUCUUCAACAUCUACAUGAAGUCUUCUACGACAACCCAAGGUUAGUUUGACCCUUUAAAAGGGGUUCUCAAAUAUAGGGGGAGCUUUGCUCUAAAAAAUUGAGCUAAAGCAUCUUCAAAUUAUGUGAACACAUCAAUGCUUUAUGUAAAAGUGGUAACCCCACUUGUUCUUAAACGAUGAGUAUGACCUAUGAUCAAAUGUUCUCAUUUGGCUCCUAAGUCAAUAUACUCGUAUAAAGAUGACCUAGUCAUCGACAAAUUGUGUGUUAGUAGCUAGAGUUUUAGUUGUGCAUGUUUGACACAUAUUUCAUUUGCUAUCUUAUUGUGUGAGCAUGUUGGAUGCAUAAUUUUAUCCAUUCGAGGACAUCCAUUUGUUGUUUUGGUCGUUUUGAUUUUUCUAACCAAAUGGAUGGACAAGAAUGCCUAAGUACCUCCCCUAGCUAUCUAUGCUUUCUUGUCUCAAAUUCUAUUCAUGCUUACAUCACAAACUUUGAACAAGUCAUUUUCGGACCCUCCGGGUGAGGAGCACUCGGAGCCACCGAUCCGUCAAGGGCUAACUUCCAAAACCUUCUAAUUGAUUUCGGUUAGGCCAACUCACUCAAACUCGGUCGAACCGAAAGCAUUUAGACUGAUCUAGGUUUUCACCUCGGUGAAACCGGGUUGUGUUUUUCGGCGUGACCGAAGUGCAUAACUGCCUAGCAGUUAUCCAUCUCGGUGCCACCGAGUUUUACAACUCGGUCCCACCGACAGCAAAGGGGUAUAUAUACUCCGAGGGCCGCGCGCGUUGAUUCCUCCUUCAAAUGUUUCGCCCCCACACCCCUUGCUGCCAUCGCCUUGGUCUCCGGAUCGUCGCCGUCGUCGCCUGUGCGCCCUCGCCGCAGGUCUCCGUCGCCGUCAACGGACAUCUCCUCCGAGCCGUUGCUGCCGUAGAAAAACUCCACCAUGUUAGGGUGAGUUUUGAUCCCACUCGUGCUCCCAUCUCCGAUUCAAUGCACGUUUGGAUUUCCUAGUAUCUUGCCACGAUUGAAAUCCUCCUGUACACCAGAUUAGUUCGUUUGGACUAGAUUCGAGUAAAAGUUUUAGGGUUAGGUUUCCGCCGAACACAUCUCGGUGAGACCGAUUUUAUAGUUUCGGUAUGACCGAUUUGGCCUAUGGCCAUUGCACUGCACCCUUCGGUCCAACCGAGUUGUGCAAAUCGGUGUGAUCGAAAUGAAAUUUCUGUGAAACCCUAGUGUUUUCGGCAGGACGGAAACCCACUUCGGUCAAACCGAAAGUGGUGUGAAAGCUCCUGUUUAACACUUCGGAUUCACCGAAACUUAAACUCGGUCUGACCGAAAUGUCUUCUGUGAAAACCUAAUACUAGAAUUUGAACUCAUUUUGUUUGCAAAAACUUCUGCAUUUGUGAUGACUCUUCUUCUCUGCCUGCACCUUAUCUAUUCACAGGUUGUCAGCCAUGUCAGAUGCCAGUGACAGUCAGAACAGGUCAAAGAUUUUCUUCUUCUGUUGAAGAAUGGGCAGAAAUUCUGAAUGCUCCAGUGCAACGAGACGAUGAUAUUGAUGUAUAUGGGAUUCCAAAGAAGAAUCAUGAAUCCAUGAAGAACAUGUACAAAGAGGUUCCAGCAAAGGAUUUGGGAAUCUGGAAGCUCGGCUCAGUCUACUAUCUCCAGGCAGGCCUACCUACCACCAAUACUAUUUUGAGGCAUACCUUGAUGCCCAAGUCUGGAGAUCAUCGCAUGAUCAGAGGAUACUCUAUCAACAUGCUGCAUAUACUUGAUGAGAAAGCACCUUUCAAGGUGAUGGACUUGAUGGUAGAGACCAUUAAGAGGACUGCAGCUGACCAGAAAAGGUCAUGUGGAUUUGCCCCGCAGAUUCAGAUGCUUAUCAAUGCCAAGUUUGGCACGGGCACAUUCUUGUUGGAUAGAGAACAUUUACCGUUGCAGCCAGAGCAUGAAGACAAUGUUGUUGUGAUGGAUGAGGAGGAUCCAACAUCUGUUGAAGGUCAAGCCAAGAUCGAAGCUGCCAAGAAAGCCAAAGCUGACAAGGAAGCAGCAGCAGCAGCAACUAAACCAAAGAGUUUCGGAGAGCAAAUUCUUGAAGCUACCCAAAGGAUUGAACAAUGCCUGGCCAGCAUUGUACAGUCUCAGGAGAGCCUAGAGAGGAUUGUUGAAGACAAGAUCCACGCUCUGGAUGUGAAGCUGACUGAAGUGCAAGUGACUGUCAACAAGCUUGAGGCAGACAUUGAGGAAGCAAAGCGGGAGAAGGAAGAGCUUAUGCGUGAGAUGCAGGAUGACUUAGUCCAAGAUGCUUAUCAAUAGACUGCUCCGGUUCCCAUAGGACCCCGAUCAGCUGCUAUUCCAGUGACUGACACCAGGACCACAGCUUCAGCACCUCCCACAGUUCCAGUUGCUCCUACUCCAGCUCCAGCUCCAGUGACCACUUCUCCAGCACAGACAUCAGCUGAAGUCUUCGCCGAUGCUGUCAUAUCCACUCCGACAUCAACCCAGACGGGAGCCACCAGCAGAGUCCCCAGUGACGCUUAGCUCUAUGCUUUUUCAAACUUUUUGGUAACUUGUUGCCAAAGGGGGGAGAAAUUGUAUAGAUCAUAGGACUUCGAGAGAGAGAGAGUGCUCUUGUCUUUGCGCUUUUGCUCUUUCGUUCUUUUGCGGUUUCUUUGAGAUACUUUUGGUUUUCGAGACAUUCAGUGUGUUUGAUACUACGUUUGAUUCUACAAUAAUGAGUGCUUGGUCGUACUAUGCUUUAAUGUGUGCUUAAUGCUUAUCAUAUGCCAUUCCUAUCUUGUAUGACCAUUUACUCAUGUCUUGGUGAUUGGGUGCAUGCUAUUCAUUCUUAUCAUUUUGUGCGCUCCACCAAGAUGUAUGUGACAUGGAAGAGUGACCCAUGAUCCUAAUCGAUUGUGCAUUUGCAUUCAAACGCAAAUCUUAAAUAAUGCACAAAUUUAGGGGGAGCUCUUGCUUAUCACAUACUUCUCAAAGCGAUGAUAUUAUUCAUUGAUUAUAUCCUUUGUCGAAGCUUUGAUCUAUAUGUUGUCAUCAAUUACCAAAAAGGGGGAGAUUGAAAGUGCAACUAAUCCCCGGGUGGUUUUGGUAAUUAAUAACAACAUAUAUAUCAUUGAACUAAUAGUUACUUGAGAAUCAUUUCAGAAAGUUCAGUGAUAUGGGUAUGGCAAGGACUGAAGAAGUGGACCCCUCAAAAUGCUAAGGCAAGCAUUGGCAAAAGCUCAAGACUCCAUUUUUGGUUUAGUGAUCCAAGAUCACAUUGAGUCCAUAGGAAAGCCAAUACUAUUAAAAGGGGAUGAGGUUAUGAUGAUGAUCUGGUUGCUCAAGUGCUUAGUGAUACAUCUCCUAAACUAUCAGCAACUUUCACUGCCAUAUACACUCAUAAGUAGUCUCGGUCCCACCGAUAUUCCAAACUCAGUCACACCGAGAUGAACCACCUCAGCCAUAAAGCCAAACCCUAGCAAACUCGGAUUUUCCGAUUCGGAACUCGGUCUCACCGAAAAAUGAGCUGCCAAGCUUCUGUAACCUUCUGUCAUCAAAUCGGUGUCACCGAGAUGAUGAAGUCGGUCCCACCGAAAUUGGCAUGCUCUUGUCAUUGCACGAAUCGGACUCACCGAGAUUGUAUUUUCGGUCCCACCGAAAAUCCCAACGUUCACAUUAUUUGAACUUUCGGUCUCACCGAGUUGUCAACUUCGGUCGCACCGAGAUUGCUCAAAUGUGUGUAACGGUUGGAUUUUGUGUGGAGGCUAUAAAUACCCCUCCACCCCCUCUUCAUUCGUGGAGAGAGCCAUCAGAAAGAACUACCACUCCUACCUUACAUUUCUGAGAAGAGAACUACCUACCCUUGUGUUGAGAUCAAGUUGCUCCACUCCCACCAUAUGAAGCUUGAUCUCUAGCCUUCCCAAGUUGCUUUCCACUCAAUCCUUUCUUCCACCACAGCCAAAUCAGUGAGGAGAGUUGAGUGUUGGGGAGAUUAUCAUUUGAAGCACAAGAGCAAGGAGUUCAUCAUCAUCUACACCAUAUAUUACCUUUUGGAGGGUGGUGCCUCCUAGAUUGGUUAGGUGUCGCUUGGGAGCCUGCGUCGAGAUGUGGAGUUGAACCAAGAAGUUUGUAAGGGCAAGGAGAUCGCCUACUUCGUGAAGAUCUACCCCGAGUAAGGCUAGCCCUCCAUGGGCGUAGGCCAUGAUGGAAUAGACAAGGCUGCUUCUUCAUGGACCCUUCGUGGGUGGAGCCCUCCGUGGACUCUCGCAGCCGUUACCCUCCGUGGGUUGAAGUCUCCAUCAACGUGGAAGUACGAUAGCACCACCUAUCGGAACCACGAGAAAAAUCACCGCGUCUCCAAAAUUGUGUUUUCUCUUCUCCACCUCUCUUUACUACAUGUGCAAUUUACUUUCCGCUGCCUAUACUCUAGAAUUGCAUGUGUAGGGUGAUGCUUGACUUGAUCAUAAUUGUGAAUCUGCCAAAAACUGUUCUUUGUCAAAAGGCAGAAUUUUUAUAUUGUCAAGUAGUCUAAUCACCCCCCCUCUAGACAUACUUUCGAUCCUACAGCCUUUGGCCCCCAAACCCCACGUCCAAGUCAAUAAUAGCCCCACCAAUGUUUGUCUCAAAAACCACUGAGUAAUUAAGGCGUCCAUUAGUUAUUAAUUAAUGACUUAAAAUAAAUUAUCCGACCAAUAAAAAUAUAGACCAUGUGGAUAGCUUUUGUCCUUAGACUGGCCCAUUCCCGAAGAGCGCGCGUGUAGGUUUCCUAUUAUCAUGUUCAUGCAAAUGCUAAAAUAGAUCACAUGAUAAAGUGGUGCAACUCACACCCACCUAGCAGUAUGGGACUAAACUUUAGUCCCACUCACACCGUACUUAGAGCAUGGUUAAUAGUAUAGCCAACAUUCGGCUAUAUGAAGUUGACACAUCAUCUAGAACCAACCUAAUAGCCUGCUAGUACAAUAUUUAAUCCCUUUAGUAUAAUACUAUAUCAUUAAUAAUGGCCCCACCUUUUGUCUCACAAAGUAUGUUGGGGCUCCUGCUACAACCGGCUACAAGUUUACAACCCGCUUCUCUUCUCUCUCCUUCAACUAAGCACAAAUACUGUAUUUAAAUCCUUAUAGCCUGCUUGUGUCAUCUAAUUGUAGUACUUUCUCUAAAGUUACUCUCCACUGUGUAGUCUGAAAUGCCGGGCGUGCAGCGGGCGGUUCCCUCGGUCGGCGCGCCGCUUCAACGGCGGAAGCAGUGAGAGGUCGCGUCGCCCUGACUUGCCAUCUAUGUGGAGCGGCGGGCUCAGCUGGCGCCAGGAGGGAAGCGCGCGCAGGAGGGGGGAGGGGUUUUUGUUGGGCCAAGAAGGUGAGAAGCCAACUUGGGAUCGGUCCGGACGGGGAAAUAUCAUGUGCUCCCAUACUCACUAGUAGUUUCAUGCAUAUGACACUAGUCUAUGUUACUACUCCCUCCUUUCCGGUUUAUAGAGAUGUUUAGAGUAACAUGGUAAUAUGUUGCAUUAUAAGUUACUCCCCAUUAUGACCAGCCUUGGCCUCUCCUAGUGCUCCACCAUGUAUAGCUGCUAAGCCUACCAUGUAGGCAUAAAAUAUGAUAUGGCAAGUUAAUUAAGAAGAGAGAGACUAGUUUGGUGACCGCGGGAAGAAACUGUGGAAAGACAAUUUUGAUUCUAUAGCUAAUUAAAUGAAGCAAGCUUAGCAACAACAAACUAAGCACCUAUGCAUUGGAGACUUGAGUUGCUAAGCUAUUUAAAGCAAUUAGAACCUCAUCUAACCACAUCUAAGCACUUAGCACUUAGCACCCCCUUGACCAUGGACCUUGACAGUGUACGUCACCUUGUGUCCAGAUCUGAGAUGCUACGUGUACCAGAUGAAUGACUCCAAGCUCGACCACCAUGAUGCAAGAGGUGCGAGUCGAGGAACACUGUUGGAGACACCCCCCUCAGACUAGCCACAAUGGGUAGUAACAUAGACUAGUUACAUGCUCAUGUUACUAGUCUAUGUUACUACCUCUAUAGUAACAUAUCUUUGGUAACAUGCAACACUUCAUUUAUUAGGCUAUAGACACAUCUUGCCUUGAUAUGUGUGAUGUUACUACUUUCCUCUCUUUCUUCAUUUAUUGCUUGCCGCAUCAUCUACUUUAUCUAGACAUGUGUGAUGUUACUACCUAUGUUACUCCCACUGUGGGUAGUCUCAUAAUUUUCCUCGUCAUCAUCUCAGUCCUAGAAGAUCUCACCCACAUCAACAUUAGGCAUGCAGCCGCCUUGAUAGAAAACAUGCGUAGAAGGAGUAGAAGCGACUGGGGAUGCACCACGUCGUGGGCAUUCCAUACGUGCUCGUGUGUGUGCAACGUGCAUGUUUUUCCAUCGGUGCUAGCUCUAUGGCCGAGGCUGCGGUCAUCUUCAUCUCCGACUAGUCGUUGAGCAACAACGACAAAGUGGUGCUGCAAGAGAUGUGUAGGAGUCGUUGUGUGCGAGCUUCACCGUAGCAUGACGAACCGGACGUCACCGCAGAUGGCGCAUACCUCCAUGCAGCCGAGUGUGUGCGUAUGCAUGUGUUAUUCACGUGCAUUCUGCGACUGAGAGUGUGUGCAUGCACGUGUUGUGUACGUGCGUUGUGUUCUCCAGGCUGUGCGCGUAUGUGCAUGAGUUGGAUCAGAUGGAGUUAGUGCAUUGGCAUGUGUACAUGCAUGGCUGCAUGCGUCCUAUACAUGCAUGGCUUGUUGCGUGGUUAUCAAUACAAACUAUAAAACAUCUUCAACUUAGCAUCCUGAUGUAUCGUCUCUAGUGGUUAGCGAAGAGUUCAUGUUCUUUUAUUUGUUUAUAGGUGGGCAGGCGGCAAAAAACAGGGGAAAACACGCAAGGUUCCUUGCAGACGCUCCACCGCGAGUUUCCUUGCUCCUUCUCGGUCGUCAGAAAUCUAUGUUCUUCAACUCUUUUUUUUACGUGAGCUUUGUUCAUCCUUUUGCCAACACGCAAGACAUCUAGCAUCAAGGUGCACGUGUCAUGCAAGAAGAUGGAGAUAAUCAGAUAAGCAGUGCGUAAGUGAGUCUUGCACUUCGAUGACACCUACUACGCAAUAUUUUUUCUCCUCGAUGCCACAUGAAUAGUGCACGUACUCAACGACAGAGCAUGGGAUGGUAACCAUGACAUGGUCAGCCCUUUUUUGGAGAGAGUACGUACUAAAUAACUUUGAUGUGUCCCGUCAACUCGCAAAACGACGAGAAGCUUGCUUACUACGACUUCUCCCUCGCCAACGCGUGCGCGGUGGUUCGCAUCAUGAGGAGAAACUUUUGCUUACAAGCAGUGGACGUGCAGCAGUUCAUUUGGUGUCCGAUUGCCAGAAGUACUACUGUAGAACCAUCGACUUCCGGAAGAGGCGAAGAGCCAAGCGCAAGGUCACCUACUAACCUUAGGCUAGGCAUAGUGGGAGUAACAUAAGUAGGGGUACCUCCUUUUUUUAUUCUAGAAACAACAACAAGCGAAUAUUGGACGGUAGCAGCACAGCAACUGAAUCAAAAAUAUAAACCAACCAAUGAACUACUACUACUCAUGAGCGUUUGCUAGUACAUAGGAUGUACUCCAUCUGUCCAUGUAUAUAGGUCUUAAUGCGUUUUCCUAGUCUCGGAAAACACAUUAAGCCCUAUAUACAUGGACAGCCGGAGUACGUGAUACGUACUAGCAAACGAUCACCAGUAGUAGUAGUUCAUUGGUUGGUUUUGAUUUUUGAUUCAGUUGCUGUGCUACUACCGUCCAAUAUUCGCGUGUGGUUGUUUCUUGAGUAAAAAAAAGGAGGUACUAGUAUUUACUGUGGGAAAGGUGAAGUGAUGGUUGAUUCGCCCGAGCAACUUAUUACUCUAGGAAUAUGGGAGUACCAGCGGAUUCAAGGAACAGAGAAAUGAUGGUUGCUUCGUCCGAGCAACUUACUGUGGCGAAGGUGGGGCUCUGUGAUUUGACUGCUCACUAGUCAUUACUACUGCGGCGUAACGACCGGGGUGAAUCUUUCCCUAUAGUUGUGCACUCAAUAUUGCUGCAUGGCAGGUGGAGCCGGAUGAAGGAUGUCCCACAUGUCGGUAAAACAAAGUUGAAUUGUUUCUGGCAUUGCUAUCAAUCCUUCAGGAUUUGUUUAUAUGUACUCAUAAUUUUAAUGAAAUUGUACGAUGAUGCUAUGAAGGUUUCAACUUUGGUUCCCGCAGGAAAAAAAAGUUUCAACUUAGGAUUCAUGUGUCUUGCCUCAAGAUUAUCUCGUUACAACAUUCCAUCAAAUACAAAUGAAACUACCAUGGCUGCUAAUGCAUCUCAAUGGUUCGUAGAUCAGCGCCAAUAUUCACAUCACAACUGAAGACAAAGUUGUGAGAAGGUGUACAAAUAAAGAAAAUAUAUAAUUGAUCGAUGUUGUUCGUAGGCAUGGCUCCAUUUCCUUGGCACAGAGUUCAUUGCUUGGCAUCUAGUUUCACCUAGCUCUGUAGCCAAAAAAGAGGUGUAUGGAGGACACCACAAUCCGAUCAUUUGUGCAGCUCCACUUAAAUCGAGCGGACCAUCCCUGUUUGCAAAGAUAUCCAGUCAGUGUGAUUACAAUAAUAGUGGAACUAGAUGGUGAAACAUAACACACACAAAUAGAAGCCGAUCACCUCUACGAUCUCUCUUUAGGACUAAAUACUUGUUGGAGAAGAUUAGGCACGGAGUUGGAUGAGGAGGAUAGCAAAACCAAUCUCCCUUUCUGCAGUCCCAUAGAAAUGUAAAAACAUUGCCUGUGUGACAUUUUGGCAGAACUGCACAAAACACUCUUAAGGAAAAAGUGAUUUGUGCAGUUCACCAAAAGGUUGCAAUAGCAAGGAGGUGAAAAUGGAUAGCCCUAUUUGCAAAAGGAGGUAGAAAGGAAACAAUUACUGCCAAAUAACACGAGUUGAAGACACAUACACCGACAAAAAAGAAACAUAUUCCUUGAAAUAAGGGAAAGAUAGCACAUGGUGGUUUAUCAAAAAUGGUUUGAGGACAAGAUUGCAAGAUGGAAAGUACGUCGACCGAGAUACAUUUUAAGCAAACAAUUAAAGAAGAUCCACAUGCAGCAACGUGGGAAGAUGGGCAGUGGAGCAAGGCCGGAGGAAGCUGUACCUGAGGGUCGUCGGGAUGUUACUAGGAGGGCACUGGUGGCUGGGAUCUGCUCAUACUGCGGCAGCGAGCAAGUGGCGAAGGCCUUACCGCGCUGGAGCUUGGUCAGAGAGAACGGUGGGUACCAAAGAUCAGGACGUGCUGCCUCAACACCGUCGAAUGGAGAGACGAUGCACAUCCUCCCUUUCCGCCAGCAGACGGGAUGCAGCCGGAUCACUAACCAACACUGAGAGAGAGGCCACCGCUGCCUUGCGUGAGAUGGUGUGACGAGAGACAAACCCAUUUUUCCAUUUUCUCCACGGCAAUCGUUUUAUAUUUUGUACGUGCCAUUGAGGAAUAUAUAACUUUAUUUAAUACUAACGCGUCAAGUCGAAGUUUGUUCUGUCUAGGCGUGGUACCCGACCCUCCUUCGAGUAAACAACCGCUACACGUGUCAAAUUAUCACGUGGGCUGCCUUUUCGUAUAGAAACGAACUUCACCGUGUACCCGCGCGGGUGUGCCCGGGAACGAGACGUGAGUACGUGCAUCCUGCGUGCACCUCUUCUUUAGGUGCAGGUACGUAUGUGGGUGGGUGUGAGAGAGAUGGUUUGUGCGAAACAGAGACAAUGUGUUGAUCGUAUCUCAAACAAAAAAAUGUAACAUAUGCAAUGUGUGUGAAAUGGAAUCAUGGACGUGAGAUAUCGAUAGAAUUGAAAAUAGGGAUGAAGUGUGUGGCUGCGCGAUUGAUAAAGAGUGCCAUUGAAUUUGUGUUUGCCUACGCCAAAGAUACAAGGCGGCUGGCCUACUGGAAUUUGAGAGGGCAGAGGUGCAGUUUUUCUCUGUGGCAUGGAUACCUACCUACAACGUUCNNNNNNNNNNNNNNNNNNNNNNNNNNNNNNNNNNNNNNNNNNNNNNNNNNNNNNNNNNNNNNNNNNNNNNNNNNNNNNNNNNNNNNNNNNNNNNNNNNNNNNNNNNNNNNNNNNNNNNNNNNNNNNNNNNNNNNNNNNNNNNNNNNNNNNNNNNNNNNNNNNNNNNNNNNNNNNNNNNNNNNNNNNNNNNNNNNNNNNNNNNNNNNNNNNNNNNNNNNNNNNNNNNNNNNNNNNNNNNNNNNNNNNNNNNNNNNNNNNNNNNNNNNNNNNNNNNNNNNNGGAGAUUGAUCGGCAUCCAUGGAUAUUUGUAGGAGAGGAAUAAGGUUGGGAGAAAGACAAAGGUAGAGUGUCGGAGGGUUGGUGGUGGAGUGGGGUCUCACAAAUGGUGGGAGAGGCCUACUAGACAAACGAAGGGUACAAGUGCAAUAUCAAUAAGAGAGGGCGGGGGAUGUCUGUCUGUCUAUGCACGCGCGUGUGAGGGACGGGUUGGGGGUAUGCAAGGAUGAUGAGGGGAGACGAUAUGGUUGUGGUAAGCAUACGUAACUACAUAGGAAGAUCAACCGUCGUGUGUCCAAGAAAGGGAGAGACAUAACUAGCGAGGUAAGUGUAUCGGUGCAUGGGGAAAACGAAUUAUAGUUGACCUGGCUAUAUGUUGGGAGAUCGGUACGUAUAACUGCAUGCAUAUGUUGGAAGCAAAUAAGGCCCGAAGAGACAGACAGGGGGAGAGGGGUGCGGCUAGGAGGUGGUGCGAGAGGCCUACCAUGUCGAUGGGGGAGGAGUGUGUGAGUAUGAGAUCAAUGAAAAGAGGGGCGGGAGUCUGCACCUGCGUGGAACUGUAUUGGACAUAGGGGGGCCUGGACGAUGAGAAGAGAAGAGGGGAAGUAUAUAUGUGUUUGUGGUAGGCACACUUGGCUAGAGAGGUAUAUCGACCGGUGUGUGCCGGAAAGAUGGAGCCAGGGGGCCUAGACACACCGCGGGUGAACGACCUAAAGAGAAAUAACAAACGUGCGCGAUGGAGGGGACAUUGAGGGAGGGUGGGAGGGGGGCGGGCGUGUGCAUGCACGAUAGAAAGUUAGCGCUAGCUAGCUACAAAUAGAAGAGGACCGUGAAGGUGUAAAAGAUGAACAAAGAUCAUAAUUCAUUAUAAAAAAGUGGAUAUGGAUACUUGAAGAAGAUAUCAUAAUGUAGAACAUUGAUUAUAAUUUGGGCUAAUGUGUGGCUUUUGCAGCUCAGGGCUAAAUACUUGUCAUAUUGUAGGGGGCGGGGCACUAUACUUUGUGUGAUAAACACGAUGUACGUAUGGAACAUGGUUUAGAUUAUGAAUAUAUAAUUAGUACGUCAAAUGUACUAUUAUUUGGAAUCAACAUCAAGUGUAUUCAAAAAAUAGAAUUUGAGUUCAUAUAGUACACAUAGUUCAUAUCUAUCUCUAUAGUAAUCAUGUGGUGUGUUAUUAAGGUAAUACACGAAUGAUGGUUGAAGUUGGCAACAAUCAUGAUUGUAGAUUCUUAUUGAAAUAGAGAAACGAAUUCAAAUUCAGUUCGAAUUGCAGCGGUAGUAUAGACAUUUGGAAUGCACUAAAAUGUUGGUAUGAGUUGGUUACAUGCAUUAUACAGCCAACGAAAAAAAUUUAAUUGGACAUAACAUGGAUUCAUACUCCCUCCUUCCAUCUAUAUAGGGCGUAAUGCGUUUUUAAGACCGCCUUUGACUAUUGACAAGAUUAAUAGUACAUGACAUGCACAAUGUGAAAAUUAUAUCAUUGAAAGCUCCUUUCACACAUGAAUUUAAUGGUGUGCUUUGUGCAAGUUGCAUGUCAUAUAUUAUUGCUCUAAUAUUUGGUCAAAGUUAGCAUCGAAAAACGCAUUAGGCCCUAUAUAGAUGGAAGGAGGGAUUAGAUUUGAAUAGCAUUUGUAUAGUAAAAUGGGGCAGGACUCUCUCUUUGUGUGGUGUGAAUAGUUUUAUUUUUUUCGUUUUUUUGGUUGAGGGAAAUGCGAAUUGAUUUGGUACGUACAAGCACAAUAUUACAUGUUAGGCUUGUCCCUAAAAUUCAACCCACACCUUGUUAUAUCCCGAAAAUUCAGAUAUCGUGCUCCCAAAACCGACACCUUCACAACCCGCGCCUUGCUAUCCCGAAAUUACAAUGUGCGUGAAAGCUCCCUCAAGCUGUCAGCGAAAUCCCACUUCUAACCCUGAGCCGAAAGGGCCGCUAGUUCAAAUCAGUGGGGGUACUUUUGUAACACACCCUACAUUUUGGACAAGCGCGUCCCUAAGUCAUGGUUCACCCCCUCCCAUCGCCUCCUUUUCACCAUUUGAAAUCCUAGGCCGCCAUAACCUCUUCUCUCCAGUCGCGAAACCCCACCCUCCUCUGUCCGCUACCUCACCGCUGCCCAGCCAGAGCCUCUUCCUUGAUGAUGUCGUCCACCGCAAUAGCUCGUCGUCCCUCAUCCACGUCCCCGGAUGAGGAUCUGUCGUCCAUCUCGUCGUCCCGCCGGUUCAGCCGCCCCGUCCUCCACCUCCAAGCAGAUGCUCUGAUGAUCGCCUCGUCUAUCACGACUGCUCCAUCCCCACAACGGCGCCUUAACCUGCUCCACCAGAACCGCAUCAUCCUCACCGAUUCCUCGGACGAAGUCGAGGCCUACUCAACGCCACCAAAGAGGUUGUACAUUCAUCGCAUAUCACCUUCUCCUUAACUCGACCUCCCGACGCCGACGGUGCUCCAUCCCGCACCCCCAUGGAGCGGCUACCUUGAAGCCGGCACCGCAGGUGACAUCUCCACGGCUUCUCUCCCCCAAUGUGAGGCCCCUUCAGCGGUGGCGUCCAUAACAGCCAAAUCUGCUGCUGCUGCUCCGGCUCUCGCUUGCUCGCUUGCACUGCUGCUGCUUCGGCUCUUGCUCGCUCGCCCAGCUAUUGCUGCUCUAGCUCUCGCUUGCUCGCUCAUUCGUGCUUCUGCUGCUGCUCCAGCUCUCGCUCGCUUGCUCGCGCUGCUACUGCUGCUCUCCCCUUCACUCGUGUUACUGCUAUGCUCCAAUUUAGCUACACUUCAGACGACUGAAUCGACUUUUGGGUCAGUCGAUUUUCAGGAGAUGGGGGGCUAGCCGGAGUUAAGGAAGAACCACCCGCAGCAGGGAUGGGGGCUCGUCGGAGAGGUUCCCUACUAUCUAUCUUAGGGUUUAGGGUGGGGGCGGGGGGCCUCGAGGGCUGGCCGGGGCGGCGGGGCAGCGGCGGACCGGCGGUGGGGAGUUGUUUAGGGGUGGCGAGGCAGCGCUGGAGCCGGCGGUUCGGCCGAUGGUGGCUGGCGGCUCAGGGGGGUGCAGGUUGAAGAUGAACUGUAGGCCCUCCCUAAACUACAUGUCAAGUGCCUCUCUGCUACCAUUGCGUUCAGUUUCGACAGUAACAUUCAGAUUCCACUAUAAAUUUCAGUUUCGACAGUUAAGUUCAGAGUCAAUAGUUUUUACCUCAUCUGUUGUCAUCAGGUGGUUUUUGGUGAUGUAAAUUUUACAUCUAUUUUACAUCAUCUAUUAGAGAUGCUAUUAGAAUCCCACUUGAGAUUAAUGAUGUCUGUCUAGUGCUGCUUCAGCCUUGACGUCUUACGGCUCACCGAUGCUGCUCCAACGAUAGAACGAUCCAUCACAACAGAGCAGUGCGCUGGAUGCCGUCUAGAGAUUCCUCAGAUCUUCCUCCACGCCUUCAAUAGCCACCUCUACCUCAACUGCUUCAACGACCAACCCAAUGAUGCUGAGGUCGACACGGCUACGGCAAACAGGUUGUACACUUGUUACAUCACUUAUUACUAUACAUUUAUGUCGAUCCAUUAGGGCUAUUUUGGUUCAACGGAAAAACAUAGCAACAGGGAAUUUUCCUAUGGCACUCUACUAUUAAUUUAUUCAUGCAUUUUGUUUAAAGGAAUGGAGCAAAACAUCCACUUGGACCUACUUUCCAAAAUCCUAUGCAUGAAAACAAGACCAAGUGCAUUAGUGCCAAAAUAACAUUCUAACUGUACACGCUUUCAUAUGGUUUCACUUUAUUUUGGCCAUGUUUCUUUGCAUUUCUCUGCUCUUCCGAUUCCCGUGAACCAAACACCCAAGUUGACAGAAAUCCUGUGUUUACAUGCUCUGUUUACCAUGUGCAUUCCUAUCAUAUUCCUGUGUUUUUCCUAUCCCCCUGUUUUUAGAAUCAUGCAAGCCAAAUGAGCCCUUAUAGAAUUACUUCAGUUACAGGUAGGUGUCAAAGGGAACUUUGUGUGGUUUGUCCUGCUCCUGCCGCGACAUCGUCCACCUCACCUGAGCUGCUCCAUCGAUAGAAGCAUCCACCAAACCAGACAUCACGACUCCUGACCAUCUUUCGCCGCCUCAGAUCUCCUUCCCUGCCGCCGACACCUACCACAACAGCAUCACCAUCAUCUACUCAGCAGAUGAACCUGAGGAGUACACGGGUCGACAAGAGAGGUCGCACUCUUUUGUUUCUGCUUAUGUUAUGCAUUGCUUAAAAUUACCUGCUACUUUAUCAUCCUAUUUACCUCUUGGACUCCAAGUCAGGUCCAAAUUAAUGUUCAAACUUGAGUUCUAGAUUAGUUGUGGGGCACAUGUCGAGGCAACAAUGAAUAGUAUCUCUGUCCAAUAUGUGGUUCACCUAGGGUAUGCCUAUGUUGUUCAUCUUGGGUGGGAAACAAAUAGUAAAGCAAUCAUCAUCUGUCUUUUUAUUAAAUUAAAGCAAUCAUCAUCCUGCUAUCAUUAUUUUUGGAUCCAUCCACUGGUUGUUACCAUCACUCUAAAUUUCUGCAUGCUCUCCUUACAUAAUCUCACCAUAUUUUUUUCAUAUGCAUGUCAGAUAUUGUACACAGUCAUGCUGAACAUGUAGAGAAAAAGUGAAGAGUUUUGCGCGGCAAUACAAUGUCAUGCAGACAUUGCUCCAUGGUGGGUUCAAUGGCAAACCCUCCCCCACUCUCCAGAUUGGAAUCCAGAGGAAGAUAACUGUUCUGAGGCGGAUUCAGACACAACUGACCACUCCUAUUUACCCCCCAAGGUGUUUGCUCUACCUUGGCAUGAUGAUUUUAGUCAUAUCAUGCAUAUGUUGCCUUGUAGUGCCUACUUUUGACAUUAUAUAUGUCAUCUGCUUAGUUUAGACAUGUUCUGUAAUGCCACCUGUUUAGUUUCUAUAUCAUAUAUGGAAAUUAUGCAGUCUCAUGUCUUUUAGACAGCCAUAAUAUAUGUGAAAUGUGCAAUGCCAUCUUGUUUAACCAGGCAUCAUAUAUUUGAAUGAUAUCUUGCCCAUCCUUUUCUUCAUUACAUUUCCAUUUGUCGACAAUGUUAGUACAUUAAACUACUCUUCCUAUGAAUCAGCCAUUUGGGUGGGAGAUGGAAAAAUAUGGAGUUAAAACAAGGCCUUCAGAGCAUACAGUGCUACCUGUCGAAGCAGAUCUCUUGUUGGGUCCCGAUAGCUCCUCAGAGAUGGAUUCAGAGAUAGAUGACCAGUCCUAUUCCCCCACCGAGGUGUAUGCUCUAACUCGCACGGUUAUACUGCUCAUAUCAUGCAUAUGGUGUCUUGCAUUGCAUAGUUUAGACAUCAUAUACACAAUAUUCAACACCAUGUUCUUAGUUCAGACAUCAUAUCGAAUGCCCUCUGUUUAGCAAAUAAAUCAGAUAUGUGAAUUAAAUCAUGUGAUCUUGAUUACUUAGAUAACAUGUAGGUGAAUUAUGUCAUGCGAUCCUGUUUAGUUAUUCAUCAUAUCUUUGAAUUAUGUUAUGCUAUGCUAUCCAGUUUAGAUAGACAUCAUAUAUGUGAAAUUAUGUCAUGCUAUCCAUUUUAGUUAAACAAUAUACAUGUCAACUAUUUCAUGCACUCUUUUUUCCACACUAUCUAUUGCAUCUGUCUCUCAUACAAUGUCUGUACAUUCAACUAUGUUUCCUGUUUAUCAGUCAUUUGAAUUGGAGCUGGUGAUGCUAGUAUCUAGUGGAGUAAAAAACACGGUCUCCAAAUAAAACAGUGCUACCUCUUGGUGGAGAUAGCACCCCGGUUGUACAUGCAUGAGAACCAUCCCUACCACACAUAACCCAAACUCUCGCAGAUUGUACCCCUACCACGACGGACAGAGAACCAGCUUCACCGAAUCUAACCCCAACCCCAGUAGAUAGUAACCAGUUCCUGUUGACACAACACCAUCUCCACCAUAGAGCUCCCAAAAAAGAGCAGUUAGUAAGGAAACUCCAGUGCCCAAAGGGCUAGUACUACCACGGCAAACCCAAAGUCCAACAGUUAGUACGCCUAUUCCUAUGGAGGAAGCACAACCAGCUAGUCAUAGUUUAGCAUCUAUCGCAUUUGAUGUUGUUAAAUCCUAUGUGUGUAUCUUCCCAUCUUGGAAAUAUUAUACUGAAGAUGAAAGAAAAUGACAAUUGUAGGUGUUUGUCCAGGAGUUAUGUGUAAGAAUGUUAUUCAUGGCAAUUACUUUGCUUUGUCCCAUACAUCCUACCUCCAUGAUGGUUAUAAUACAUCAAAUUUUCCCAUUUUUCUCUAUAGAGAAGCACCGAUUUGGAAACUCAUGAUAAGGUAACCUGUGCUAAUACCUCGGCUAUCUUCAAGAAUGCUUGGUGGCAGUAUUCGAAUUACCUGAAGAAAAUAUACUUCACCGGCAAAGAAACUCAUCAAAUUCCCUUACGUUCUCCUGAGACACAUUUACUAGAUGAUGACUGGGAACGCCUUGUUCUGUACUGGUCCCGAACCAAGAAUGUGGUAAGGUCUAUGAGCUCAUUUUCUAUUUUAAGUACUAUAUUCUUGCAUCUUACUGUACUCUGUUCAUGUAGAACAAGUGCCUAAACCUAAAGAACAACUGUUCUAAUUUAAGAUUCCAUUGCUAUCAUAAUUAAAAAAGCGCAAGGCGUUAAUUGUGCAUUUUUCCACCGCCUUGCGCUUUACUGACCAAAGCGCAUGCUUAUGUGCAGUUAUGCACAGAUUAAGCAUAGUUAUGACAAUGCGUUUUGCCGACGCCUAGAGCCUAGGCGCGCUUAAGCGCUCGCUUAGGCGCACCUUUUUUAACUAUGAUUGCUAUCGUGCACACUACUUUGCUCUUGUAUCACUGUAUUUACUCAUACAAACUUAUUUUUAAAUUGAAGGAUCCAAUCGAAACUCCAAUGGCACAACAGGUAUCUUCACGCACGUUUCUUUAACAGGUUUGCUCUUAUCAAUAGCGCUGUUGAUUUCAAUUUCAAUUGUGUAUACAGUUGACUUCUCAUAUCAUGCACAUUAGUAGCAUCACAAUAGAGCCAAUAGUGUUGUUGUACAUGUAGACCCGUGGUACCCAUCUGAAAUCUUGUUGUGCUAUGUAGUUUCCCACGCUUUGUAUUCUUUCACUACUUCUUUGUCUUGAACUGAUAUUAUUUGAACCGUGUCUCUAUUUUGAUUUGGCAAGACAAUGCAGUGACCAUAGGACAUAGAUAUAUGUUUGUUUGAUGCUUUUAUUAUGUAGUAGUACUUGGAAAUAGAAGACUUGGUUGUUUAAUCCUGUCCACCUUAUUAAUGAACUGGUUCACCGAAAUGAGUUUCAUAUACUAGUACAUGCUAAACCUGUUAUGUGUCUGCUUGUUUCUUCUUUUAGAAUGCUGACAGAAUAUUGGGGAAGAGUGCCUUAUUAAGCAAUGGUAAAGGAAGUAAUACAGAUAAGGUUCAAGAUAGUGAGACAUCCUUGUUGGUAUCCAACAAAGCUGAUAAAAUAGCUAAGGAAGACUAUCUUGAAAAUAGUGAGACAACCCCAAAGUCCAGUCUUGGUUUAGUGUUCGGCCACUACCGCUUGCACAAGCUAUUCAAACUCACUGUCUGAAUCAGUUCGGUUUCUUGAGUCUCAACUACAAGCUGAAAGACAUCGAUCAGCUAUGCCGCGACAAGAAGCGGAAGGACUGCAGAAGUCCGCGGAGCAUUCAGAUGCAUACUUUCUGGUGCAACAGCAAGCGUUGGAGGAUUUCAGUGCCAAACAUGACAAAGCUAAUAAGCUUGCUAAGCUUAUUGACAGCAUGGUGGAUACCCAGGAUAAUGUUUCUUGAGCUCUUCUGAAGAUGUUUCAGUUAUGCUCUUUGUUUGCUGCCGCAUUUAUUUACACUGGUGGCCAAUUUUGACGGCCAGUGUAUGUAAUAUGCUGCUUUGUUCCCUAUAUUUGCACCGGUGGCAAACUUUGAUGCCCAGUGGAUGUAAUAUGUGUAAUAGCGGUAAUAGGCUAGCGUUAGUUGCUUGCUUAUUUAUUUCCUUAUUGUCUUGUUUAUUUGUUUGCUUGUAGUCACUGCAGUUCUUUUCCGUGUUUUUCUAGUGGCCACGAUAACCUAUUUUUGGUAACUAGGCCACAAUAAUCAUGGCAACACACGGACUGUUGUACCCAUGGGCCUCUUGCGGGCCGUAUGAUCCAUGGGCCUUCUACCGGCCGUAGGAUCCAUUGGUCUUCUAUACGGUCCGUAGGAUCCAGGGCCUUCUACAGGCCGUAGGAUCCAUGGGCCUUCUACGAGCCGUACUAUCCAUGGGCCUUCUACGGGCCAUAGGAUCCACUGGUCUUCUAUGGGCCGUAGGAUCCAUGGGCCUUCUACGGGGCGUAUAAUCAUUUCGCCAAUCAUGGGCCGUACUAUUCGUGGACCAUAACGUGCCGUUAAUAGGUCGUAUUUGAUAACUCCAUGAAAAUAGCCCAACGGGUUUUUACAUGAAAACGGCCCAAUGUAUUAACGGGCCACAAACGGGCCAACUGUAACCAUGGGCUGAAUUUGGCCCACAAGCAGAAAAUGACAGUAACGGGCCGUAAGUAACCGAAUGCUGGAAAUGAUCCCAAGAAUAAAUGGCCCCUGAGAAGGUCGAAAUAUAACAUGGGCUGGAAACGGCCCAAUGGAAUAAUGGGCCGUUAAUGGGUAUAAAGUGAUACACUGUUCAUUACGGGCGAGUUUCACCACGGGCCAUUAAUGGGCCAAGAGUUACAAAGGGCCUCAUAUGGACCGAAAGACAUCAUGGGCCAUACAUGGACCGGAAGUUAAAACGGGCUGGAAUCAUAUUGGACAACCCAUAUGACGCUACUAGGCCUAAUUCGGAUAGGUCGUAAAGGGCCCUGGGUUAGCAGGCUGUAAAUGGGCUAUAUGCGAACAAGCCGUUAACAGGCUUUUCAUGGGUCGACCCGCCACCUUUUGACCAAGUCAAACAGGCCAGCCUUUUCACAGGAAUGGGCCUCUGUUGGGCCGUGCCACGUGUCGACGUAUCAUAGGCGCCUUCGGUCCAAUGAGUGGAUGACAUCUGUCCCAACGGUGAGCCGACACGUGUUUCCUCUAGCCAAUGAUGAUUUUACACGUGGAAAAUCCCCAUUGGUCGGGGCUUUUAACGGGUUAUCGGAUCCAAAACCAGACCCGAUAACUUAACGGUGUUCCAUUACCGUGGAUGCCACGUGUCGGUCAUCCUUGACGAAAGCACUUCUAUGACGCCUGAUUUAUCGUCAUGGAAGUGGACACUUCCAUGAUGAUAAUUUUGGUAAUGUCAUGGAACACUUCUACGACAGCACAGGUAUGACUAUCUUGAUUCUGUCAUAAAAUCAUCAUGGAUGUACAUGCAUGACAGAAAACGUGACCUACUAUGACAAACGCGUAUCAUCACGGAAGUGUAUUUUUUUGUAGUGAGUGCGGGUAAAUUGCCAUAGUUUCCUUCCUAUGGAAGACAAUAGAGAUAGAAGGACUAUGUUUUAGGAUGGCAGGCACACCAUCAUCACCAACUCUAUUUUUUUAUAAUAGUAUAGAUAUAGAAGACAAUAGAGAUAGAGAUAGAGAUAGAGAAACCCGCGUGGAAUGCGAGAAACCCACUACAGCCACACAUGCCCGUUCAGGAGCUGGACGCCGACCAAGCUCCUGCUUCCACCAUUUUCUUCUUUUUAUAAGAGUAGAAAAAUCCAGAAAAAACAAUAUUUGAAUGUAAUUGCCGGUUGGCUUAGGAUUAAAAAUUUACAACCCAUUUUUUACUAACUUAUAGCCCAUUUUAUGCGGAAGCCCAUUUCUUACUACUUACAUCCCUCCUCGUCUUGAAAGAUUUGCAGUCCAGCAGGGAUGAGGAAAGCAAGCUUGGGUAUUCUCCAAAAAAAGCGAGCUAGCCAUUUUCAGAAAGAAAAAAAGAUAUCAACUGGGCUCGUCAUCUUUUUUUGAGCAAAGGAACUGGGUUCGUCAUGUGCUUAAAUAAAAGCGUAAGCGUGGGCUAGACGGGCCAUAGUCCCCGCACAGCCCACAAUUGACUGAGCUCCAUCUGUAAAACUAAAAAACAACUGGACGAGCUGCUGGGUCCCUAGUGUUAUCCGCUCGUUGUGUAAUUUUCUUGUUUAUUGACUACAUUGACAAUGGCGUGGGACCUGGUUGUCAAACAAUUAGGAGGAAGUUUUUUUGGCUUUUAAUAAUGAGGAACCUGCUUGCGUAAUGCAAUGACCCUGGUGGGUCCCUACUGUCAGCCUCUUCGUAUACAGUCAUCUCUUGAUUCCUCUUGGUUCUUGACCAAGUUGACAACGAUAGACGGUGGCGGGCACCUCGAACAAACCAAGGAAGAGAACGAUGGCGAGGCCUCGGACGGGAAUGAACAGGAGCCGUGGAAUAUGCGGCGGUGUAGUGGCAGGCGGAGGGGAGUAUGAGCAGUAGCGGAGCUAGGUUCAGCCUAUGUCCCAGGUAAGCAAUGCAACUACAGUGAGCUACAAUGUCAUUUGUGCUACAGUACGCUACAGUUAACAAAGAACAAAUCCACCACGCCAGUGUGAACAUCAUCAAGAUAUGAUAUGCCAUGUUUGCGCUAUGCAGCGAGAAGUGAAGUUGCGCCUUGUUGUGAUCCUUUGGGAGUGGUGGACGUCAAGGAACAAAGCCAAUGCAGGUGAAGUACAGAAGACGGCAGCAGAAAUCAGUUCUUUCAUCACAAAAGACUUGACUGAUUUAACUUCGGUGAACAUUCAGAAAACGCCCCAGCCGCAACAACCCCAGGUUUGGAUCCCUCCAGCUACAAACUUGAUCAAGAUUAAUAUGGAUGCUGCUUUUCUAAUGAAGUCUGAGACUGGUGCGUGGGGUUUCAUUGCGAGAGACGAAACUAGCGAUUUUCUGUGGCUGCUGCUGGCAAGAUGAACCAUGUAAGAUCUGCACUGCACGCGGAAGUGAUCGCUUAUCUAUUGAAGGGGCAGCUGACCUGGGUGCACAACACAUCAGUUUUGAAUUGGAAUGUUUGUCAAUGAUUUCUGCCCUUAAAGUGCGGGGCUAUGACGUUGCGGAGCUGGGAGUUCUCUGAAUUGAUGUUUUGUCCCUGGAACUGUAACCAUGUGGCGCAUGCUUUGGCGCAGUUUGCUAUGGGAGCUGUUGAACCCCUCCAUGUGUGGGCGAAUGUUGCCCCAGAUUUUGUUUCUGACUUGGUGAAUGCUGAUAUGGCUUCCCAAUUUUAAGUGGAAUAUAAUUUGUUCCCUCUCAAAUAAAAAAUCCCACCACGCCCCAGGCCAAGGCCAUGGCUGCUUGGGGCCUAGAACCGCCUUUGAGUACGAGGGCAACAACAUGUAACUCAAGCUUACAAAUGGUACAAAAAUCCCAAGGAUUAAUUGUUCAUCAAAUUUAGAAAAAACCCAGAUUGAACAUGGCAAUAACAUCUAAGUGACAAAGCGACAAUGUUUUUCACUCUUAUUAUCAUUUGUUGAAGCUUUGAUCUAUAUGUUGUCAUCAAUUACCAAAAAGGGGGAGAUUGAAAGUGCAACUAUCCCUAGGUGGUUUUGGUAAUUCCUAACAACAUAUAGCUCAUUGAGCUAACAUUAUUCCAAGAUGAAUAUUUCAGGAAAAGCUCAAUGAAUGGCAUGUCACGGAUGAGAAAAGUGGACCCCUCAAAAUGCUAAGGAUAAAAGAUUGGCUCAAUCUCCAAAGCUCAAGACUCUACAUUUUAUGUUUUAGUGAUCCAAGAUCACAUUGAGUCUAUAAGAAAAGCCAAUACUAUCAAGGAGGGAUGAGGUGUUUCUUAAUGAGUUUCUUGCUCCAUAGUGCUUAGUGAUAUGCUUCAAAGCCCUCAACUACUUUCUCACAUCCACAUAUGACCUAAACCAAAUGUCAAACUCGGCCCUACGGAUUCUUUCAAUCCGGCGCCACCGAGUUCAGAUGUCAUAGCCACUGCCACAAACCCUAGGCAAAUCGGUCUCACCGAUAGGGAUCUCGGUCUCACCGAGAUGGGAUUAUAAUCUCUCUGUUUCCCUUCGUAACGUUUCGGUACCACCGAGAUGAGCGAUCGGUCCCACCGAGAUUGCAAUGUAAACUCAGUGUUUCCUUUUCGUAACAUUUCGGUCCCACCGAAAUGAGCGAACCGGUCCCACCGAGUUUACCUGACCAACUCUCUGGUUAGCUUAUUACCAAAAUCGGUCCCACCAAGUUUGUGUAAUCGGUCUCUCCGAGAUUAUGUUAGGCCCUAACCCUAACCAUAUCGGUCCUACCGAGUUGCAUGUCAAUCCCACCGAAAAUCCUAACGGUCACUAGAUUUGCUGAAUCGGUCUGACCGAGUUGCCCAAUUCGGUCCCACCGAGUUUGGCAAGUUGUGUGUAACGGUUACAUUUUGUGUGGAGGCUAUAUAUACCCCUCCACCUCCUCUUCAUUCGUGGAGAGAGCCAUCAGAACAAACCUACACUUCCAACUUGCUGUUUCUGAGAGAGAACGACCUACUCAUGUGUUGAGGCCAAGAUACUCCAUUCCUACCAUAUGAAUCUUGAUCUCUAGCCUUCCCUAAUUUGUUUUCCACUCAAAUAUUCUUUCCACCAAAUCCAAAUCAUGUGAGAGAGAGUUGAGUGUUGGGGAGACUAUCAUUUGAAGCACAAGAGCAAGGAGUUCAUCAUCAACACACCAUUUGUUACUUCUUGGAGAGUGGUGUCUCCUAGAUUGGCUAGUUGUCACUUGGGAGCCUCCGACAAGAUUGUGGAGUUGAACCAAGGAGUUUGUAAGGGCAAGGAGAUCGCCUACUUCGUGAAGAUCUACCGCUAGUGAGGCAAGUCCUUCGUGGGUGACGGCCAUGGUGGGAUAGACAAGGUUGCUUCUUCGUGGACCCUUCAUGGGUGGAGCCCUCCGUGGACUCGCGCAACUGUUACCCUUCGUGGGUUGAAGUCUCCACCAACGUGGAUGUAUGAUAGCACCACCUAUCAGAACCACGACAAAAACAUCCAUGUCUCCAAUUGCGUUUGAAUCCUCCAAACCCUUCCCUUUACAUUCUUGCAAGUUGCAUGCUUUACUUUCCGCUGCUCAUAUACUCUUUGCAUGCUUGCUUGAAUUGUGUUAAGAUUGCUUGACUUGUGCUAAGAUAACGAAACUCUGCCAAAGACUAAAAUUGGGAAAAGGAUAAGUUUUUAUUUGGUCAAGUAGUCUAAUCACCCCCCCCCCUCUAGACAUACUUUCGAUCCUACACCCACUCACUUCUUUCGAGAGAAACUCCUUCUCUAGAAAGGAUCCGAAUUUAGCAACAAAAGUCUUGUCCUCAGAUCUGUGAUAGAAGGUGUACCCAAUAGUCUCUUUUGGGUAUCCUAUGAAGACACAUUUCUCUGAUUUGGGUUCGAGCUUAUCUGGUUGAAGUUUGUUCACAUAAGCAUCGCAUCCCCAAACUUUAAGAAACGACAACUUUGGUUUCUUGCCAAACCACAGUUCAUAAGGCGUCGUCUCAACGGAUUUUGAUGGUGCCCUAUUUAACGUGAAUGCGGCCGUCUCUAAAGCAUAACCCCAAAACGAUACCGGUAAAUUAGUAAGAGACAUCAUAGAUCGCACCAUAUCUAGUAAAGUACGAUUACGACGUUCGGACACACCAUUUCGUUGUGGUGUUCCGGGUGGCAGGAGUUGCGAAACUAUUCUGCAUUGCUUCAAUUGUAAACCAAACUCAUAACUCAAAUAUUCUCCUCCACUAUCAGAUCGUAGAAACUUUAUUUUCUUGUUACGAUGAUUUUCCACUUCACUCUGAAAUUCUUUGAACUUUUCAAAUGUUUCAGACUUGUGUUUCAUCAAGUAGAUAUACCCAUAUCUGCUCAAAUCAUCUGUGAAGGUGAGAAAAUAAUGAUACCCACUGCCAGCCUCAAUAUUCAUUGGACCACAUACAUCAGUAUGUAUGAUUUCCAACAAAUCAGUUGCUCGCUCCAUAGUUCCGGAGAACGACGUUUUAGUCAUCUUGCCCAUGAGGCACGGUUCGCAAGUACCAAGUGAUUCAUAAUCAAGUGAUUCCAGAAGUCCAUCGGUAUGGAGUUUCUUCAUGCGCUUUACACCAAUAUGACCCAAACGGCAGUGCCACAAAUAAGUUGCACUAUCAUUAUCAACUCUGCAUCUUUUGGCUUCAACAUUAUGAAUAUGUGUAUCACUACUAUCGAGAUUUAAUAAAAAUAGACCACUCUUCAAGGGUGCAUGACCAUAAAAGAUAUUACUCAUAUGAAUAGAACAACCAUUAUUCUCAGAUUUAAAUGAAUAACUAUCUCACAUUGUAGGAUCGAAAGUAUGUCUAGAGGGGGGGCUGAUUAGACUACUUGUCAAUAUAAAAAUUCUGCCUUUUGACAAAGAACAGUUUUUGGCAGAUUCACAAUUAUGAUCAAGUCAAGCAUCACCCUACACAUGCAAUUCUAGAGUAUAGGCAGCGGAAAGUAAAUUGCACAUGUAGUAAAGAGAGGUGGAGAAGAGCAAACGCAAUUUUGGAGACGCGGUGAUUUUUCCCGUGGUUCCGAUAGGUGGCGCUAUCAUACAUCCACGUUGAUGGAGACUUCAACCCACGGAGGGUAACGGCUGCGCGAGUCCACGGAGGGCUCCACCCACGAAGGGUCCACGAAGAAGCAACCUUGUCUAUUCCAUCAUGGCCUACGCCCACGGAGGGCUAGCCUUACUCGGGGUAGAUCUUCACGAAGUAGGCGAUCUCCUUGCCCUUACAAACUUCUUGGUUCAACUCCACAUCUCGACGACGGAGGCUCCCAAGCGACACCUAACCAAUCUAGGAGGCACCACCCUCCAAAAGGUAAUAGAUGUUGUAGAUGAUGAUGAACUCCUUGCUCUUGUGCUUCAAAUGAUAAUCUCCCCAACACUCAACUCUCCUCACUGAUUUGGCUGUGGUGGAAGAAAGGAUUGAGUGGAAAGCAACUUGGGAAGGCUAGAGAUCAAGCUUCAUAUGGUGGGAGUGGAGCAACUUGAUCUCAACACAAGGGUAGGUAGUUCUCUUCUCAGAAAUGUAAGGUAGGAGUGGUAGUUCUUUCUGAUGGCUCUCUACACGAAUGAAGAGGGGGUGGAGGGGUAUAAAUAGCCUCCACACAAAAUCCAACCGUUACACACAUUUGAGCAAUCUCGGUGGUACCGAAGUGGACAACUCGGUGAGACCGAUAGUUCAAAUAAUGUGAAUGUUGGGAUUUUCGGUGGGACCGAAUAUACAAUCUCGGUUAGUCCGAUUCGUGCAAUGACACUAGCAUGCCAGUUUCGGUGGGACCGACUUCAUCAUCUCGGUGACACCGAUUUGAUGACAGAAGGUUACAGAACCUUGGCAACUCAUGUUUCGGUGAGACCGAGUUCAGAAUCGGAAAAUCCGAGUUUACUAGGGUUUGGCUUAUGGCUGAGGUGGUUCAUCUUGGUGUGACUGAGUUUGGAAUAUCGGUGGGACCGAGACUACUUAUGAGUGUCUAUGGCAGUGAAAGUUGCUGAUAGUUUAGGAGAUGUAUCACUAAGCACUUGAGCAACCAGAUCAUCAUCAUAACCUCAUCUCCUUUUAAUAGUAUUGGCUUUUCCUAUGGACUCAAUGUGAUCUUGGAUCACUAAACCAAAAAUGGAGUCUUGAGCUUUUGCCAAUGCUUGCCUUAGCAUUUUGGGGGGUCCACUUCUUCAGUCCUUGCCAUACCCAUAUCACUGAACUCUCUGAAAUGAUUCUCAAGUAACUAUUAGUUCAAUGAUAUAUAUGUUGUUAUUAAUUACCAAAACCACCCGGGGAUUAGUUGCACUUUCAAUCUCCCCCUUUUUGGUAAUUGAUGACAACAUAUAGAUCAAAGCUUUGACAAAGGAUAUAAUCAAUGAAUAAUAUCGUCGCUUUGAGAAGUAUGUGAUAAGCAAGAGCUCCCCCUAAAUUUGUGCAUUAUUUAAGAUUUGCGUUUGAAUGCAAAUGCACAAUCGAUGAGGAUCAUGGGUCACUCUUCCAUGUCACAUACAUCUUGGUGGAGCGCACAAAAUGAUAAGAAUGAACAGCAUGCACCCAAUCACCAAGACAUGAGUAAAUGGUCAUACGAGAUAGGAAUGGCAUAUGAUAAGCAUUAAGCACACAUUAAAGCAUAGUACGACCAAGCACUCAUUAAGGUAGAAUCAAACGGAGUAUCAAACACACUGAAUGUCUUGAAAAUCAAAAGUAUCUCAAAGAAACCGCAAAAGAACGAAAGAGCAAAAGCGCAAAGACAACAGCACUCUCUCUCUCGAAGCCCUAUGAUCUAUACAAUUUCUCCCCCUUUGGCAACAAGUUACCAAAAAGUUCGAAAAAGCAUAGAGCUAAGCGUCACUGUGGACUCUGCUUGCGGCUCCCGUCUGGGUUGAUGUUGGAGUGGAUAUGACAGCAUCGGCGAAGACUUCAGCUGAUGUCUGUGCUGGAGGAGUGGACACUGGAGCUGGAGCUGGAGUAGGAGCAACUGCUGGAACUGUGGGAGGUGCUGAAGCUGUAGUCCUGGUGUUAGUCACUGGAAUAGCAGCUGAUCGGGAUCCUUUGGGAACCGGAGCAGUCUGUCGAUGAGAAUCCUAGACUAAGUCAUCCUGCAACUCACGCAUAAGCUCUGCCUUGUCCUGCUUUGCUUCCUCAAUGUCUGCCUCGAGCUUGUUGACGGUCACUUGUACUUCUGUCAGCUUCACGUCCCGAGCGUGGAUCUUCUCGUCAACAAUCCUCUCUAAGCUCUCCUGAGACUGUUCAAUGCUGGCCAAGCGUUGUUCAAUCCUUUGAGUAGCUUCAAGAAUUUGCUCUCCGAAACUCUUUGGUUUAGCUGCUGCUGCUGCUGCUGCUUCCUUGUCAGCUUUGGCUUUCUUAGCAGCUGCGAUCUUGGCUUGACCUUCAACAGAUGUCGGAUCCUCCUCAUCCAUCACAACAACAUUGUCUUCAUGCUCUGGCUGCAACGGUAAAUGUUCUCUAUCCAACAAGAAUGUGCCCGUGCCAAACUUGGCAUUGAUAAGCAUCUGAAUCUGCGGGGCAAAUCCACACGACCUUUUGUGAUCAGCUGCAGUCCUCUUAAUGGUCUCUACAAUCAAGUCCAUCACCUUGAAAGGUGCUCUCUCAUCAAGUAUGUGCAGCAUGUUGAUAGAGUAUCCUCUGAUCAUGCGAUCAUCUCCAGAUUUGGGCAUCAAGGUAUGCCUCAAAAUGGUAUUAGUGGUAGGUAAGCCUGCCUGGAGAUGGUAGACUGAGCCGAGCUUCCAGAUUUGCAAAUCCUCUGCUGGAACCUCUUUGUACAUGUUUUUCAUGAUUCAUGAUUCUUCUUUGGAAUCCCAUAUACAUCAAUAUCAUCUUCUCGUUGCACUGGAGCAUUCAGAAUUUCUGCCCAUUCUUCAAUAGAAGAAGAAAACCUUUGACCUUCAGUCAUCCACAUAAUCUUUCCAUCAGGGUAGAAGUGAGCUGUGGCAUAAAAUUGCAUUAUCAUCUCAUCGUUCCAACUGGUCAAUUUCUGACCUACAAAAUCUGCAACUCCACAUGCAGUGAAACUUUCAUGCACAUGUGGAAAGAAAUCUCUGUGCUCUUCGCUGUCAAUGUACUUCCAGUCAACAUAUCUGGUGUCUGCGACUAUGGGCUUCUUGUCCAUCAGCACGGUCUCAUAGAAGUUCUGCUGCUCUCUGGUGUGAAAUCUGGGAUCUACAACAGUUCUUAUCCUCACGGCAUAUGGGUCAGUUUGUCUCCAUAGCCUGAGACCUUUAUCUUUCCUUGCCUUCAUAUCCUCAGCUUGAGGAUGAGCAUCAUUAUGGAGUGGCAGUUUUGGACGAAGUUUCAGCAAAACUGGUCCUUCAUCGUCAGACUCAGUUGGUGGCACAUCAUCCUUGUUCUUUUCAGACGCUGGAAUGUUUCUGAUGGUCCUCUUGGGCUUGGCAGCAGGCUUUGCUGGAGCUGCCUUAGCUGGAGCAGAUUUCUUGGGCUUUGAUGUGGCUCCAGCCUUAAUGGCAUCACCCAUGAGCUUCGGCUUCUGAGGAGGAGGCUGGGGUGCUUCCUCAUCCUCAUCCUCUACUGCUGCAUCUGCAUGCACUAUUCUCUUUCUCUUGGUGGUUUUCUUCACUUUGCUUGCAGCUGCCUCUCCCAAAUUCAGCUUCUUAGCAACAGUUGACUGCUUGACUUUGCUGGUGCCCUUCUUAGAUUGUUGAUCUUGUUGCUCUUUGGCAACAACCUUCCUUUUAGGCUUUGAGGUCACCUCUUCCUCAACAACUAAAUCUGAAUCCUCAUCAUCUGAAUUCCUCUUCUUUCUAGCUCUGGUGGCUGCAGGAGGCAUGCCACUUGGUGUACUCCUCUCACCAUCAUCAGAUGAGCUACUAGGAUCAGGACUAGUGCCUGCCUCUGGAAUGUCUGCAAUGGGUGUCUCUGACCUGUUCUCACUGUCACUGGCAUCUGACAUGGCUGACAACCUGUGAAUAGAUAAGGUGUAGGUAGAGAAGAAGAGUCAUCACAAAAUGCAGAAGUUUUUGCAAAGAAAAUGAGUUCAAAUUCUAGUAUUAAGUUUUCACAGAAGACAUUUCGGUCAGACCGAGUUUAAGCUUCGGUGAAUCCGAAGUGUUGAACAGGAGCUUGGCACACCACUUUCGGUUUGACCGAAGUGGGUUUCGGUCCUGCCGAAAACACUAGGGUUUCACAGAAUCUUCAUUUCGGUCACACCGAUUUUGCACAACUCGGUUGGACCGAAGGGUGUAGUGCAAUGGCCAUAGGCCAAAUCGGUCAUACCUAAAAUAUAAAAUCGGUCUCACCGAGAUGUGUUCCGCGGAAACCUAACCCUAAAACUUUUACUCGAAUCUAGUUCAAACGAACCAAUCUGGUGUACAGGAGGAUCUCAAUCGUGGCAAGAUACUAGGCAAUCCAAACGUGCAUUGAAUCGGAGAUGGGAGCACGAGUGGGAUCAAAACUCACCCUAACUUGGUGGAGUUUUUCUACGGUGGCAACGGCGCGGAGGAGAUGGCCGUUGACGGCGACGGAGACCUGCGGCGAGGGCGCACAGGCGACGACGGCGAUGAUCCGGAGACCAAGGCGACGGCAGCAAGGGGUGUGAGGGCGAAACGUUUGAAGGAGGAAUCAACGCGCGCGGCCCUCGAAAUAUAUACCCCUUCGCUGUCGGUGGGACCGAGUUGUAAAACUCGGUGGCACCGAGAUGGAUAACUGCUAGGCAGUUAUGCACUUCGGUCACGCCGAAAAUCACAACUCGGUUUCACCGAGAUGAAAACCCAGAUCAGUCUAAAUGCUUUCGGUUCGACCGAGUUUGAGUGAGUUCGUCUGACCGAAAUCAAUUAGAAGGUGUUGGAAAUUAGCCCUUGAUGGAUCGGUGGCUCCGAGUGCUCCUCACUCGGAGGGUCCAAAAAUGACUUGUUCAAAAUUUGUGAUGUAAGCAUGAAUAGAAUUUGAGACAAGAAAGCAUAGAUAGCUAGGGGAGGUACUUAGGCAUUCUUGUCCAUCCAUUUGGUCAGAAAAAUCAAAACGACCAAAACAACAAAUGGAUGUCCUCGAAUGGAUAAAAUCAUGCAUCCAACAUGCUCACACAAUAAGAUAGCAAAUGAAAUAUGUGUCAAACAUGCACAACCAAAACUCUAGCAACUAACACACAAUUUGUCGAUGACUAGGUCAUCUUUAUAUGAGUAUAUUGACUUAGGAGCCAAAUGAGAACAUUUGAUCAUAGGUCAUACUCAUCGUUUAAGCACAAGUGGGGUUACCACUUUUACAUAAAGCAUUGAUGUGUUCACAUCAUUUGAAGAUGCUUUAGCUCAAUUUUUUUAGAGUAAAGCUCCCCCUAGAUGUGAGAACCCCUUUUAAAGGGUCAAACUAACCUUGGGUUGUCGUAGAAGACUUCAUGUAGAUGUUGAAGAUGUGGAUGCUCAAUGUUCAUGGAGAUCAUCAAGAGUUGGGAGCUAUCCUUUGGAUUCGGGCACUUUCAAUACCUACAUGGGUUAGUCCCACAAGGAACAAACAAGGAUAUCCAUGGACAUAGGUUGAAGUUCACAAUAGAUGAUGUCCAUGAAAGCAAUGAUUACCUUGUCCCUUGACUUACCAACAAGAGGGUUUGUGACUCCAUGAACUAGUGCACGAUGUGGAAGUUGAUUGCACAAGUUUUUGCCAAAAUGAAUGUGAGUGAAGUAUGUUGGCGGAGUCACCCUCAAGAACUUUCUAGUUCUUCUUCUUCGGGAUCCACAUCAUCUUGAUGGGAAUCCUUGGGGUUGUAGUUGAGAUUGACGAAGUAGAACUUGACGUUUCCUUGGGAACCCACUUGACCAUGGCUUGAGGUGCUUCAACAAAUGCAUCAAUCUCCUCUUGAAGCUUGUCCUUGCCUUUUAGCUUGUGGUCUUGUGGUGGAAGGUUAUCUUGAGCUUGUUCCACAUUGGAAGAAUUAGGAUCAUACUUCUCCUUUUGAGGAACAAACUGUGGAGUAGGAUAUUGACCUUCUUCCCACUCAACGCCUUCGGCGUUGAACUUUCGCUCAAAACCAAUUCCUUGAUUCUUCCGGUGCCUUCCUUGCUUGCGAACAAUUUCCUCAAAGUUCUUGCUUUCGGUAAGGCUCUUGUAGACACCUUUCUCUAUGAUCCCUUUCAAUAAACUAUUCUCUUGCUCAAGUGUAACUUGGCUUGAAACAUUGUUAGUGGAAUCAAGAGAACUACUAGAAGCAACAACAUUGGAUUUAGCAUGGUUAUUGUUACUGCUAGAGGAAGAAUUUUUAUUAUGUUUGUCAUGCUUAGUCUUAAUGGGUGGCAAGAAAUUAGACAAGAGAAGUCGUUUGGCAAGAUAUGAAGAACUCUUCUUUCGAAGAUCGUCAUUGAUUGCUUUUAGAAACUCAUGUUCUUGCUCUAGAGUGAGCUUCUCGAAGCGUAGCUUCUCAUGAGAUCUUAGGAGCUCUCUAUGAUCUUCUUGAGUUGUUUCAUGAGCUAACUUAAGAGUGUUUAGUUCUUUAGUUAGACGCUCAAUCUCCUUCAUAGCAUUGUCAUUCGACUCUUCUCGACUAUAAAGACUACUAGCAUGUUCAUCGUUACUAGGCUCACUGGAUUUAUCAUGCAAGAGCUCAUCUUCACCAAGCAAGUCAUCCUCAUCACUAUCGAAGUCAAUGAAUUCAGGGUGUGAUACCUUGGGGCCUUUAGCCAUGAAGCAUCUUCCAAUUCCCUCAUUUGGUGAAUCAAAUAAGUCGUAGGAGUUGGAGUUGGAGGAUACGAGAGCAAGACCGGCAACACCUUCAUCUUGACUGUAGUCGGAGUCGGAGUGAUAGCUUCCUUCGGAUUGAUUGUCGGAGUCGGAGCCGGAGACCCAUUCACCUACAUGAGCUUGAUGUUUUCUUCUUGUGUAGCUCCUUGAUGACUUGUCUUUCCUCUCUGAAUCCUUGCUUCUCCGAGAGGGUCUUCGUUCAUAACGAUCAUCUCUGCUCCUUCUCUCUUUCCGAGGUGACUCAUCUCUUGAGCUUCUUCUUCUUGGAGAUUCUUCUCUUCUCUUGUGGGGAGUCGUACACUCAUUUGAGUAGUGUCCGGGUCUUCCACAAUUGUAGCAGUUUCGAUCACGACUAGAAGAUCUCUUUUCGUCAUAUGAUCUAGACUUUGAGCUUCUCUCUUUGCCUCUAUUCUUGUAGAAUUUGUUGAAGUUCUUGACCAUUAGGCUUAUCUCUUCAUUGGAAACUAACUUGUCACUUGAGGUUGUGGGAGCAUCACUUGUAGCUUUGUAAGCACCACUUGACUUGUUGUGAAGCUCUUCCUUAUCCUUAAGUGUCAUCUCAUGAGCAACAAUUCUUCCAGUGACUUCGGUUAGCUUGAGAGUCUUGUAGUUUGGCAUCAUUUGGAUCAAAGUGCACACGGGGUCAUACUUUCCAUCCAAAGCUCUGAGAAUCUUCUUGAUGAUGAAUCGGUCGGUCAUUUCUUCGCUUCCUAAGCCGGCAAUCUCAUUUGUGAUGAGAGCAAUCCUAGAGUACAUUUCAGCGACUCCUUCACCAUCCUUCAUCUUGAACUUGCCAAGUUGACCUUGAAGAAUAUCUAGCUUUGAUUCCUUCACGGACUCGGUACCUUCGUGCAUUUCAACUAAAGUAUCCCAAAUCUCUUUUGCAUUCUCAAGACGGCUGAUUUUGUUGAACUCCUCGGGACACAAGGCAUUGAAGAGAAUGUCACAAGCUUGAGCAUUGUUUUGCAACAUCCGCAAUUCUUCCGGUGUAGCUUCGCGAUCCGGAACUUUUCCUUCCUCGAAGAAUUCACCUUGCAUACCAACACAAAUAAUGCCCCAUGCGGCUGGGUUAUGACCAAGAAUAUGCAUUUUCAUUUUAUGCUUCCAACUAGCAAAAUUUGUACCAUCAAAGUAAGGACCUCUACGAAAAUUACCCUCACUAGACGCCAUACUCUCCUAGGUUGUGAAACCAAGCUUAUGGAGUCCAAUGCAAUGGAAACCAAUACAAUGGAGACCAAAGCUCUGAUACCACUUGUAGGAUCGAAAGUAUGUCUAGAGGGGGGUGAUUAAACUACUUGUCAAUAUAAAAAUUCUGCCUUUUGACAAAGAACAGUUUUUGGCAGAUUCACAAUUAUGAUCAAGUCAAGCAUCACCCUACACAUGCAAUUCUAGAGUAUAGGCAGCGGAAAGUAAAUUGCACAUGUAGUAAAGAGAGGUGGAGAAGAGCAAACGCAAUUUUGGAGACGCGGUGAUUUUUCCCGUGGUUCCGAUAGGUGGCGCUAUCAUACAUCCACGUUGAUGGAGACUUCAACCCACGGAGGGUAACGGCUGCGCGAGUCCACGGAGGGCUCCACCCACGAAGGGUCCACGAAGAAGAAACCUUGUCUAUUCCAUCAUGGCCUACGCCCAUGGAGGGCUAGCCUUACUCGGGGUAGAUCUUCACGAAGUAGGCGAUCUCCUUGCCCUUACAAACUUCUUGGUUCAACUCCACAUCUCGACGACGGAGGCUCCCAAGCGACACCUAACCAAUCUAGGAUGCACCACCCUCCAAAAGGUAAUAGAUGUUGUAGAUGAUGAUGAACUCCUUGCUCUUGUGCUUCAAAUGAUAAUCUCCCCAACACUCAACUCUCCUCACUGAUUUGGCUGUGGUGGAAGAAAGGAUUGAGUGGAAAGAAACUUGGUAAGGCUAGAGAUCAAGCUUCAUAUGGUGGGAGUGGAGCAACUUGAUCUCAACACAAGGGUAGGUAGUUCUCUUCUCAGAAAUGUAAGGUAGGAGUGGUAGUUCUUUCUGAUGGCUCUCUACACGAAUGAAGAGGGGGUGGAGGGGUAUAAAUAGCCUCCACACAAAAUCCAACCGUUACACACAUUUGAGCAAUCUCGGUGGUACCGAAGUGGACAACUCGGUGAGACCGAUAGUUCAAAUAAUGUGAACGUUGGGAUUUUCAGUGGGACCGAAUAUACAAUCUCGGUUAGUCCGAUUCGUGCAAUGACACUAGCAUGCCAGUUUCGGUGGGACCGACUUCAUCAUCUCGGUGACACCGAUUUGAUGACAGAAGGUUACAGAACCUUGGCAACUCAUGUUUCGGUGAGACCGAGUUCAUAAUCGGAAAAUCCGAGUUUACUAGGGUUUGGCUUAUGGCUAAGGUGGUUCAUCUUGGUGUGACUGAGUUUGGAAUAUCGAUGGGACCGAGACUACUUAUGAGUGUCUAUGGCAGUGAAAGUUGCUGAUAGUUUAGGAGAUGUAUCACUAAGCACUUGAGCAACCAGAUCAUCAUCAUAACCUCAUCCCCUUUUAAUAGUAUUGGCUUUUCCUAUGGACUCAAUGUGAUCUUGGAUCACUAAACCAAAAAUGGAGUCUUGAGCUUUUGCCAAUGCUUGCCUUAGCAUUUUGGGGGGUCCACUUCUUCAGUCCUUGCCAUACCCAUAUCACUGAACUCUCUGAAAUGAUUCUCAAGUAACUAUUAGUUCAAUGAUAUAUAUGUUGUUAUUAAUUACCAAAACCACCCGGGGAUUAGUUGCACUUUCACACA
This 36971-nucleotide long non-coding RNA is filed under the name Triticum aestivum (bread wheat). RNAcentral describes it as "long non-coding RNA (TAES_LNC016401)". The record is from RNAcentral. Lineage: Eukaryota; Viridiplantae; Streptophyta; Magnoliopsida; Poales; Poaceae.